UGCUAGGUGUGGCGGAGGCCGUGGGCGGAGGUUGCCGAGGUCGCGGUACGGGUCCAGUACGAGCGGAGGUUGCCGAUCUUGCAGAUUGUUGAACCGACGGGUGCGGAGGAGCUACCUGGAGCAGUGGAACACCAGCGUCCAGCUCGACCUCAUGCUCACUCGAUGACAUCGUCCCGCCGCACGCCACCGAGAACCAGACGAUGUUCGUUUGUUAUCUUCUACUAGCUCUGCGGAUGCUUCCAAGACAUUUGCCUUGCGUAUAUGCUGGAGUAUAAAGCCAAGAUAUCAUGGAGUAUCAUGGAAUCCAACAGUA
Lolium rigidum is the source of this 313-nucleotide long non-coding RNA. RefSeq lists it as uncharacterized. The record is from RefSeq and is a predicted model, not a curated record. NCBI's taxonomy places the organism in Eukaryota, Viridiplantae, Streptophyta, Magnoliopsida, Poales, Poaceae. The transcript is spliced from 3 exons.